CAUUAGCCAUCCUCCGACUUGCGACUCGGGUUGGCGGGGAGCGACCUUCUGCUCCGGGAAGAGUGAGGCGAAUGACAAUGCCACGCAGGCCUCACGUGCUGAACGCCAGCUGACAACUCCUGUGAAAAAAAAAAAGGAUAAAUCCACUAUUUGGGUCAACUUGAUGCAACUUUCUGCAUUGUUUAAUACCAAAGGACUUCAUUGUUUUUGUUUUGAUUAAUUUGACCCAAUUUCUGGUCAAAAACCAGAAAAUUGAGUCACCUUGAGUUGGUCCAUUUUUUGUUUACUAUUUUUUUACUCAACUUUUCAGAGUGCAGGUUUUCCUCCCCCAGAUUUGAGUGUUUAUAUUCCUUCCAAAUUGUACAAUUCUGCCUUGAGUAAAAUUUGAGUGACACCCUGGCCACCCCACAGAAAAAAAGUCUUACUCCGCCCCUGGAAGUUCACCUGAAUUCUUUCAAAAUCAAAUGUCUGAAGUUUUUCUCUUUCUAGGCAGGUAUCGGACACGCUGAUGCUUUCGCAGCUCCAGAACAUCCUGGCAAGAUCUCGCUCGUUUCCGUGAAGGUGACCGAAAUUUUCUUCCCGAGUUUAUCCCGACGUGUUCCUGCGGAGGCAACCCGAGGCCGCUCUCCCGAACGCCUCUUGCAGACGUUGACAUAUCGAGGUUGGCAGCCUUCUUAGAAAAGCUUUGGCUGACCUCCAAAGAAGAACCGCAGCCGCCAGUAGGCCCACGGAGCUAGCAGUCGCCGCCUGACUGGCAGAUUCCGUUUGAGAAGUAGGCAGAGGAGGUCCGCUUUUGAAUCGUCACUCGGAUUUUUAGAUAUACAGUGAAGGAGCCACUCGAGUCCCGGCCAGGAGCUCUUUUUCCAACGUCGUCCUUUUUUCUUUGCGAAGGCAGAUGCCGAGCAAACAAGCGCGUGGCUCCGGAUGGAGCUUUGCACCAGACUUUGAUACGUCUCUAAUCUCCACUAAACUGUCCCCACUGGUUUUAACGCCCGUACGCAUUAGCCUAUGUCUUAAAACUUAAGAGUUUAUCGUUAGCUGCUAAAUUUAGACGCCUUGACUUAAGACUUGGAAUGCGUGUGCAUAUAUAUACAGCGUGCAAAAUUACAAACCUUCCCGAGUGUAACAAAGGAUGUGAACUGUGCUUUUGUUUUGAAAUCAAAUUACUCAUUGGCUGCCUUGAGGGAUAACUUGGGAGACACUUUGCUGUUAAAAGGAGGUCAACCAUGCAUCUUAUUUUCUAUUGUUUGUUUUUGCCCUUUUUUUUGCUUAUUACUUUUUACAUAUUAUUUUGCUUAU
Molecule: long non-coding RNA, 1299 nt
Organism: Syngnathus acus (greater pipefish)
Lineage: Eukaryota; Metazoa; Chordata; Actinopteri; Syngnathiformes; Syngnathidae
Exons: 3
Source: RefSeq, a predicted model, not a curated record